Molecule: small RNA, 138 nt
Filed under: Klebsiella quasipneumoniae
Lineage: Bacteria; Pseudomonadati; Pseudomonadota; Gammaproteobacteria; Enterobacterales; Enterobacteriaceae
Also listed under: 1 other name
Description: RtT sRNA
Rfam family: RtT RNA
About the family: This family represents a bacterial cis-regulatory element known as RtT RNA. The exact function of RtT is unknown although it is thought that it may be involved in changing the cellular response in relation to amino acid starvation.
Source: RNAcentral
UUUAUAUUCUCCACGGGGGGGAUGAGAACCCCCGACCGGGGUUCGACAACUGGCGCAGCCAGUUGGACAGACCGCGAGCCUGCGAGCGGGCUGCCCCGCAGGGGCGAGCGAAGCGAGUCAAUCCCCCCCUCACCGCCA